Molecule: ribosomal RNA, 221 nt
Filed under: uncultured bacterium
Lineage: Bacteria
Description: partial 16S ribosomal RNA
Rfam family: Bacterial small subunit ribosomal RNA
Source: RNAcentral
UACGAAGGGGGCUAGCGUUGCUCGGAAUUACUGGGCGUAAAGGGCGCGUAGGCGGAUGUUUAAGUCGGGGGUGAAAGCCCAGGGCUCAACCCUGGAAUUGCCUUCGAUACUGGACAUCUUGAGUGCGGGAGAGGUGAGUGGAACUCCGAGUGUAGAGGUGAAAUUCGUAGAUAUUCGGAAGAACACCAGUGGCGAAGGCGACUCACUGGCCCGUUACUGAC